RNAcentral lists this ribosomal RNA (216 nucleotides) under Staphylococcus aureus. Its description in RNAcentral is "partial 16S ribosomal RNA". It matches the Rfam family "Bacterial small subunit ribosomal RNA", at positions 1 to 210 of the family's 1533-position model. The record is from RNAcentral. Lineage: Bacteria; Bacillati; Bacillota; Bacilli; Caryophanales; Staphylococcaceae.
UUUAUGGAGAGUUUGAUCCUGGCUCAGGAUGAACGCUGGCGGCGUGCCUAAUACAUGCAAGUCGAGCGAACGGACGAGAAGCUUGCUUCUCUGAUGUUAGCGGCGGACGGGUGAGUAACACGUGGAUAACCUACCUAUAAGACUGGGAUAACUUCGGGAAACCGGAGCUAAUACCGGAUAAUAUUUUGAACCGCAUGGUUCAAAAGUGAAAGACGG